CAUUUUGCUCAUGACCUUCUCUCUCUAUCAAACCGGUUACUCUCUCCUCUCUCUAAAAUCAAAACCCUCACUUCUCUCUCUACUCAAAAACAACACCGCCCCCUUAUAUCAUCUUCUCCGGCGAGAUAGUGUUUUCCAGCGCGGUGGCCGGUGGUGGCACCACCGCGCCGGAGUUCAAACUUACUCCGAUUCAAAAAUUUCUUGUAGUUCUAAACAUCCUUAUGCAUGCUGGUUUCAAUUCUUAAAAUAAAUUUUCAAAACAAAACACGGAUUUACAUAGAUCUACAAAACAAAAUUCGAAAAAAGGAUGAACAAAACUCUUACCCUUUGUUACUUUUCGUACCGGUUCGGCUUACCUCUUCCUCUACGGUUCAGAUCCGGUUUGGCUCGGUAUGUAUUCCGGUUCGAUUCUGUUGUCACUUUCUUCUCCCUUCGCGAUCCGAUUCAAGCUCUAUUCCUUGUUGCUGCUCAGUUCCGAAAAGAAGGUUUGAUUUUAUAGCAUUAGGGUUGAAGAGAAUAAGGAAGUAACUUGCAGAGAUUAUUACUGAGCUGCUGGAUUUGGCAACAAAAACUUGACCCUAUGAACUUGCCUAAACAUGCGGCGUACGAAAAAAGAAAUUUGGACCACUGCCGAAAACCUUCGGACUUAUUGACAACAUUGUACAGAAAAAACAGAAAAUAAACAUUAUUAAAUAUUUAAAUAUUAAAAAGUAACUAAUAUUAAAAUUAAAAUUAAUAAAGGAUGCAAACUAGACAAUGAAAUAAAAAAAAGAAAAUAAUGGGAAAGAGAAGGGUCUGACUCAGAAUAAAAAAUGAGGUACUUCAAAGUAACAUCUUUGUCGAAAUUUUGUCUGAAACGACGAAAAUUCCCGACUUCAAAAACACGAAUAAAAUGGGUAAGAAUAGAGAAAAGUGGUCAAAAUUUGGGGUAUGACAGAUGCCCCUAUUUAAGUUUCUCUGUCACGGAGAUUUAAAAGAAAAUUCUUUAAAUCAACGGGUCGAAGAGACUUAAAUACCAAGUACACCAAUUUUGACCAGUUCAAAUGCUAAGAAUGUCAUGCUUAUGAAUAUACUGGUAUGAAUGUCUGCGAUGCAAGUAUGAAUGCAAGGACGACAAAAA
Medicago truncatula (barrel medic) is the source of this 1120-nucleotide long non-coding RNA. RefSeq lists it as uncharacterized. The transcript is spliced from 2 exons. The record is from RefSeq and is a predicted model, not a curated record. NCBI's taxonomy places the organism in Eukaryota, Viridiplantae, Streptophyta, Magnoliopsida, Fabales, Fabaceae.